UACGUAGGGUGCAAGCGUUACUCGGAAUUACUGGGCGUAAAGCGUGCGCAGGCGGCUUUGCAGGACAGAUGUGAAAUCCUCGGGCUUAACCUGGGAACUGCAUUUGUGACUGCAUGGCUGGAGUGCGGCAGAGGGGGAUGGAAUUCCGCGUGUAGCAGUGAAAUGCGUAGAUAUGCGGAGGAACACCGAUGGCGAAGGCAAUCCCCUGGGCCUGCACUGACGCUCAUGCACGAAAGCGUGGGGAGCAAACAGG
This 253-nucleotide ribosomal RNA is filed under the name uncultured bacterium. RNAcentral's name for it is "partial 16S ribosomal RNA". It matches the Rfam family "Bacterial small subunit ribosomal RNA", at positions 524 to 776 of the family's 1533-position model. The record is from RNAcentral.